Molecule: ribosomal RNA, 455 nt
Filed under: uncultured soil bacterium
Lineage: Bacteria
Description: bacterial SSU rRNA
Rfam family: Bacterial small subunit ribosomal RNA
Source: RNAcentral
AGAGUUUGAUCCUGGCUCAGGACGAACGCUGGCGGCGUGCUUAAAACAUGCAAGUCGAACGAGAGCUUCGGCUCUAGUGGCAAACGGCUGAGUAACGCGUGGGUGACCUGCCUGGAAGUGGGGAAUAACUGCCCGAAAGGGUGGCUAAUACCGCAUGUGAUGGCCGGACCGAUCCGGUCAUGAAAGUCUUCGGACGCUUCGAGAGGGGCCCGCGUUCGAUUAGCUAGUUGGUGGGGUAACGGCCUACCAAGGCGACGAUCGAUAGCUGGUCUAAGAGGAUGAUCAGCCAGACUGGGACUGCGACACGGCCCAGACUCCUACGGGAGGCAGCAGUCAGGAAUUUUGGGCAAUGGGCGAAAGCCUGACCCAGCAACGCCGCGUGGGUGAUGAAGGCCUUCGGGUCGUAAAGCCCUUUUCAGGGGAAGAUGAUGACGGUACCCUGAGAUAGCCCCCGA